RNAcentral lists this transfer RNA (68 nucleotides) under uncultured Collinsella sp. It matches the Rfam family "tRNA". From Rfam's summary of the family: Transfer RNA (tRNA) molecules are approximately 80 nucleotides in length. Their secondary structure includes four short double-helical elements and three loops (D, anti-codon, and T loops). Further hydrogen bonds mediate the characteristic L-shaped molecular structure. tRNAs have two regions of fundamental functional importance: the anti-codon, which is responsible for specific mRNA codon recognition, and the 3' end, to which the tRNAs corresponding amino acid is attached (by aminoacyl-tRNA synthetases). tRNAs cope with the degeneracy of the genetic code in two manners: having more than one tRNA (with a specific anti-codon) for a particular amino acid; and 'wobble' base-pairing, i.e. permitting non-standard base-pairing at the 3rd anti-codon position. Lineage: Bacteria; Bacillati; Actinomycetota; Coriobacteriia; Coriobacteriales; Coriobacteriaceae. The record is from RNAcentral.
GACGUGGCGCAGUUUGGUAGCGCGCCUGCUUUGGGAGCAGGAUGUCGCAGGUUCGAAUCCUGUCUUCC